This 493-nucleotide ribosomal RNA is filed under the name uncultured bacterium. RNAcentral's name for it is "partial 16S ribosomal RNA". It matches the Rfam family "Bacterial small subunit ribosomal RNA", at positions 29 to 523 of the family's 1533-position model. The record is from RNAcentral.
AUUGAACGCUGGCGGCAUGCUUUACACAUGCAAGUCGAACGGUAACAGGUUAAGCUGACGAGUGGCGAACGGGUGAGUAAUGCAUCGGAACGUGCCCGGUCGUGGGGGAUAACGCAGCGAAAGCUGCGCUAAUACCGCAUACGAUCUGAGGAUGAAAGCGGGGGACCGUAAGGCCUCGCGCGAUCGGAGCGGCCGAUGUCAGAUUAGGUAGUUGGAAGGGUAAAGGCUCACCAAGCCGACGAUCUGAAGCUGGUCUGAGAGGACGACCAGCCACACUGGGACUGAGACACGGCCCAGACUCCUACGGGAGGCAGCAGUGGGGAAUUUUGGACAAUGGGCGCAAGCCUGAUCCAGCAAUGCCGCGUGCAGGAAGAAGGCCUUCGGGUUGUAAACUGCUUUUGUACGGAGCGAAAAGGCUCUCUCUAAUACAGGGGGCUCAUGACGGUACCGUAAGAAUAAGCACCGGCUAACUACGUGCCAGCAGCCGCAGUAA